This 403-nucleotide ribosomal RNA is filed under the name uncultured bacterium. RNAcentral's name for it is "bacterial SSU rRNA". It matches the Rfam family "Bacterial small subunit ribosomal RNA", at positions 355 to 775 of the family's 1533-position model. The record is from RNAcentral.
UGGGGAAUAUUGGACAAUGGGCGAAAGCCUGAUCCAGCAAUGCCGCGUGGGUGAAGAAGGUCUUCGGAUUGUAAAGCCCUUUCGACGGGGACGAUGAUGACGGUACCCGUAGAAGAAGCCCCGGCUAACUUCGUGCCAGCAGCCGCGGUAAUACGAAGGGGGCUAGCGUUGCUCGGAUUGACUGGGCGUAAAGGGCGCGUAGGCGGUUCGUACAGUCAGACGUGAAAUUCCUGGGCUCAACCUGGGGGCUGCGUUUGAUACGUGCGGACUUGAGUGCGGAAGAGGGUCGUGGAAUUCCCAGUGUAGAGGUGAAAUUCGUAGAUAUUGGGAAGAACACCGGUGGCGAAGGCGGCGACCUGGUCCGAUACUGACGCUGAGGCGCGAAAGCGUGGGGAGCAAACAG